UACGUAGGGGGCUAGCGUUGUCCGGAUUUAUUGGGCGUAAAGAGCGUGUAGGCGGCCAGGUAGGUCUGGUGUGAAAACUCGAGGCUCAACCUCGAGACGCCGGUGGAAACCGUAAAGCUAGAGUCCGGAAGAGGAGAGUGGAAUUCCUGGUGUAGCGGUGAAAUGCGCAGAUAUCAGGAGGAACACCCGUGGCGAAAGCGGCUCUCUGGGACGGUACUGACGCUGAGACGCGAAAGCGUGGGGAGCAAACAGG
RNAcentral lists this ribosomal RNA (253 nucleotides) under uncultured bacterium. RNAcentral's name for it is "partial 16S ribosomal RNA". It matches the Rfam family "Bacterial small subunit ribosomal RNA", at positions 524 to 776 of the family's 1533-position model. The record is from RNAcentral.